This 510-nucleotide ribosomal RNA is filed under the name uncultured bacterium. RNAcentral describes it as "partial 16S ribosomal RNA". It matches the Rfam family "Bacterial small subunit ribosomal RNA", at positions 28 to 507 of the family's 1533-position model. The record is from RNAcentral.
GACGAACGCUGGCGGCGUGCCUAACACAUGCAAGUCGAACGAAGAGCGAUGGAAGCUUGCUUCUAUCCAUCUUAGUGGCGAACGGGUGAGUCACGCGUAAUCAACCUGCCCUUCAGAGGGGGACAACAGUUGGAAACGACUGCUAAUACCGCAUACGAUCUAAUCUCGGCAUCGAGGAUAGAUGAAAGGUGGCCUCUACAUGUAUGCUAUCACUGAAGGCGGGUAUUGCGGCUGAUUAGCUAGUUGGGGGGGUAACGGACCACCAAAGCGAUGGUCAGUAGGCGGUCUGGGGGGAUGGACGGGCACAAUGGGACUGGGAACCGGCCCAGACUCCUACGGGGGGGAGCAGUGGGGGAUCUUCCGCAAUGGACGGAAGUCUGACGGAGCAACGCCGCGUGGAUGAUGACGGCCUUCGGGUUGUAAAGCUCUGUUAAUCGGGACGAAAGGCCUUCUUGCGAAUAGUGAGAAGGAUUGACGGUACCGGAAUAGAAAGCCACGGCUAACUACGUG